AUUGAACGCUGGCGGCAGGCCUAACACAUGCAAGUCGAGCGGAUGAAGGGAGCUUGCUCCUGGAUUCAGCGGCGGACGGGUGAGUAAUGCCUAGGAAUCUGCCUGGUAGUGGGGGAUAACGUCCGGAAACGGGCGCUAAUACCGCAUACGUCCUGAGGGGGAAAGUGGGGGAUCUUCGGACCUCACGCUAUCAGAUGAGCCUAGGUCGGAUUAGCUAGUUGGUGGGGUAAAGGCCUACCAAGGCGACGAUCCGUAACUGGUCUGAGAGGAUGAUCAGUCACACUGGAACUGUGACACGGUCCAGACUCCUACGGGAGGCAGCAGUGGGGAAUAUUGGACAAUGGGCGAAAGCCUGAUCCAGCCAUGCCGCGUGUGUGAAGAAGGUCUUCGGAUUGUAAAGCACUUUAAGUUGGGAGGAAGGGCAGUAAGUUAAUACCUUGCUGUUUUGACGUUACCAACAGAAUAAGCACCGGCUAGCUUCGUG
Molecule: ribosomal RNA, 484 nt
Filed under: uncultured bacterium
Lineage: Bacteria
Description: partial 16S ribosomal RNA
Rfam family: Bacterial small subunit ribosomal RNA
Source: RNAcentral